RNAcentral lists this ribosomal RNA (259 nucleotides) under uncultured bacterium. RNAcentral describes it as "partial 16S ribosomal RNA". It matches the Rfam family "Bacterial small subunit ribosomal RNA", at positions 99 to 354 of the family's 1533-position model. The record is from RNAcentral.
CGCACGGGUGAGUAACACGUAUGGAACCUGCCCUAUGCAGGGGGAUAAGCGGAAGAAAUUCCGUCUAAUACCGCAUAACACCAUUGGGAGACAUCUCCAGGUGGUCAAAGGAGGCGACUCCGGCAUAGGAUGGCCAUGCGUCGCAUUAGCUAGUCGGCGGGGUAACGGCCCACCGAGGCGACGAUGCGUAGGGGUUCUGAGAGGAAGGUCCCCCACACUGGUACUGAGACACGGACCAGACUCCUACGGAAGGCAGCAG